UCCCUGGUGGUCCAGUGGUUAAGAAUCCAUCUUGCAAUGCCGGGGACUCGGGUUCGAUCCCUGGCCGGGGAA
Molecule: transfer RNA, 72 nt
Filed under: Bos taurus (domestic cattle)
Lineage: Eukaryota; Metazoa; Chordata; Mammalia; Artiodactyla; Bovidae
Also listed under: 1 other name
Rfam family: tRNA
About the family: Transfer RNA (tRNA) molecules are approximately 80 nucleotides in length. Their secondary structure includes four short double-helical elements and three loops (D, anti-codon, and T loops).
Source: Rfam by way of RNAcentral